GUCGUGAGAUGUUGGGUUAAGUCCCGCAACGAGCGCAACCCUUGUCCUAUGUUGCCAGCGGAUCAUGCCGGGGACUCGUAGGAGACUGCCGGGGUCAACUCGGAGGAAGGUGGGGACGACGUCAAGUCAUCAUGCCCCUUAUGUCCAGGGCUGCAAACAUGCUACAAUGGCCGGUACAAAGAGCUGCUAUCCCGCGAGGGUGAGCUAAUCUCAAAAAGCCGGUCUCAGUUCGGAUUGAAGUCUGCAACUCGACUUCAUGAAGCCGGAGUCGCUAGUAAUCCCGGAUCAGCAUUGCCGGGGUGAAUACGUUCCCGGGCCUUGUACACACCGCCCGUCACACCACGAAAGUCGGCAACACCCGAAGCCGGUGGCCCAACCCUUGGGAGGGAGCCGUCGAAGGUGGGGUCGGUGAUUGGGGGUGAAGUCGUAACAAGGUAGCCGUACCGGAAGGUGCGGCUGGAUCACCUCCUUUCUAAGGAGUACCUCUCAUCAGCUUGGCCGCAUGGUCACGCAACGAUGAGACAUCUCCCUAGUUGGUGCAUUGGUGGGUCGUCGUCCGUAGCGAUCGUCGUGGAGGCCUUGGUCUCCGGCGGUGGCAACGUGGCGCCGGCUCCGUUCCUCUCUUCCGUUGUGAGGGAGCGAGUCGUCAGCGUCGAGCUCGAAGGAGCUCCGCUGCGCCGGCCGCUCAACCCUCUUCGCCCCUUGAGAACUGCAGAGCGAGCACGAGCAUCUUGUAAAUUUUCCAAGCUACAAAGAGCCAACGGUGGAUGCCUUGGCGUCGAGAACCGAUGAAGGACGUGGGUGACUGCGAAAAGCCGCGUGGAGCCGUCGACCAGGCUUUGAUGCGCGGAUGU
This 854-nucleotide small RNA is filed under the name uncultured Actinomycetes bacterium. RNAcentral's name for it is "bacterial SSU rRNA". The stretch from base 1 to 472 matches the Rfam family "Bacterial small subunit ribosomal RNA", at positions 1064 to 1533 of the family's 1533-position model. Lineage: Bacteria; Bacillati; Actinomycetota; Actinomycetes. The record is from RNAcentral.